Molecule: long non-coding RNA, 1017 nt
Filed under: Homo sapiens (human)
Lineage: Eukaryota; Metazoa; Chordata; Mammalia; Primates; Hominidae
Description: HSALNT0249212
Source: RNAcentral
AAACUACUGAAUUUCAGCAAGGCAGUUUAGCAAAUUCUUUUAUAAAUUUGAAGGAACCUGUGGAUUGGAUGAUUCUGCGUUGUGGCAGCAUUGUCAACUGAUGGACCCACCAGUUCCUGAAUCCUGCUGACUAAUGGAUCAUUGUCAACUUGCUGGAGCUUUGAGGAAGAUCAGGAGAGAGAAAAGGAAGGAAUUACCUCGGAUGGCUGGAGCGGAGAACUAAUGAAGGGAAGGCUCCAGGGCUUUGCCAAUGGGGCAUCUGGCCGGAAAAUCUGUGGAUGAAUCAGCACAAGUGGAUGCUCGCUGUUACAAAAAUGGCCCAAAUCACAUAUUCUAGUGAUCAUUGUUGAUGGUAUCAUAUUAAAAGUGAACUGCCAUGGAAGAAUGCUAACUUUUGUUGGUGCUUGAGGUGUAGGAGUCCAGAGACAUUCGAUUGGGUGUUUUGAAAGCAAAAGGCCAGUCUCCAGACACGUUUUAGUGUCAGCAUUCAGACUUUCACAGCUUUGGCUACCUCUAUGUGCUAUUAUAAAUUGAUGUCAUUACAAAGAUAUUAUAAUACCUAUCUUUUCUCCUAGAAUCAUGAAAAGGACUAUCCUUAAUAUGGAAUUGGAUAUUAAAAGCCGUUUCUUAUCCGUGUGUCCUAAAGCAAUAAAUGACUUCUAUAAUUAAUUAGUGCAUGGGUCAUUCCUGGAAUGCUGAUUGUCAUUCUGUGGUUUAAAAUCACAACCUGGGAUUUUCUUUUUUGUCUUUUGUCCAUAUGUGACUCUGAGUAGCCAAAUCUAAGUAUCAUUUGCUCUAGAUGCUUGACAUAGUUUAUAUGCCUAGCAAUUAUGACUGCCAAAUAUUUUACAUUGUGAAGCCAAAUGGCAAAGUCACACUUAUAGGGUGCAAAAAGGAAAUCAGAUAUCGAGUAUGAUACCACACAUUCAAUAGAGAAUGAGAGUUCAGGACACGGCCUGUGGAGUUGAACUGACCUGAAUGAGAACUCAGCUUUCUCAUUGAAUGACUGAAUGCCUU